This 493-nucleotide ribosomal RNA is filed under the name uncultured bacterium. Its description in RNAcentral is "partial 16S ribosomal RNA". It matches the Rfam family "Bacterial small subunit ribosomal RNA", at positions 29 to 523 of the family's 1533-position model. The record is from RNAcentral.
AUUGAACGCUGGCGGCAUGCUUUACACAUGCAAGUCGAACGGUAACAGGUUAAGCUGACGAGUGGCGAACGGGUGAGUAAUGCAUCGGAACGUGCCCGAUCGUGGGGGAUAACGCAGCGAAAGCUGCGCUAAUACCGCAUACGAUCUGAGGAUGAAAGCGGGGGACCGUAAGGCCUCGCGCGAUCGGAGCGGCCGAUGUCAGAUUAGGUAGUUGGUGGGGUAAAGGCUCACCAAGCCGACGAUCUGUAGCUGGUCUGAGAGGACGACCAGCCACACUGGGACUGAGACGCGGCACAGACUCCUACGGGAGGCAGCAGUGGGGAAUUUUGGACAAUGGGCGAAAGCCUGAUCCAGCAAUGCCGCGUGCAGGAAGAAGGCCCUCGGGUUGUAAACUGCUUUUGUACGGAGCGAAAAGGCUCUCUCUAAUACAGGGGGCUCAUGACGGUACCGUAAGAAUAAGCACCGGCUAACUACGUGCCAGCCGCCGCGGUAA